UACAGAGGGGGCAAGCGUUGUUCGGAAUUACUGGGCGUAAAGGGCGCGUAGGCGGCUCGGCAAGUCGGUCGUGAAAUGCCGGGGCUCAACCCCGGGACUGCGUCCGAUACUUCCGAGCUGGAGGCAGGUAGGGGAGAUCGGAAUUCCUGGUGUAGCGGUGGAAUGCGCAGAUAUCAGGAGGAACACCGGUGGCGAAGGCGGGUCUCUGGGCAGUAACUGACGCUGAGGAGCGAAAGCGUGGGGAGCGAACAGG
Molecule: ribosomal RNA, 253 nt
Filed under: uncultured bacterium
Lineage: Bacteria
Description: partial 16S ribosomal RNA
Rfam family: Bacterial small subunit ribosomal RNA
Source: RNAcentral